CUGGUUUCAGCUUGCUGCAUUUAGGACCGCAGAGACACUGCAGAGCAUACAGGCUGUUUGAAGGCAAAGCUUCUGAAAGGCUGGCGUAUAAGACCAGCACAGGAGAGAUGAACAGAGGUAGCUGCUGUCUGUGUUGCACUUUUUCUCUGAGUUGUAAAAGCAAGCAGAGCAGAAACUGGCUACUCUUUAGUUGUCUGAUCUAGCUGGCAAGACCUGAAUCAAAUGAUGAAACCAGUGGCCAAAUGAUGGAAGACCGAUAUUUGGACGUUUUUUCAGCACAAUGAUCAGAUGGUGACAGGUGUCCCUGCAGCGUCAGACAGCCAAGGAAGACCGGUCUACAUAGCUCAGGAUCAGACGGUGACAGGGGUCUCAUCAGGGUCAGGCAGCCAGGGAAGACCAGUCUGUGGCAGAGCUGCAGAUACAACACUUUAUUUUCUCUGUACAGAAAACAUGGGACAAGCAAGAAGCUUAAAAGAUUUAAACUAUUUUAAAGCAGUCUGACAAACCUCUAAAGUUGAUUUCCAAACUGUACCAAGAGUUGAUAGAGGCUUUUCCCGAUGACACAAAACAUGUGAAACAAAAAUGUGAGGAAGAACUGGGAGAUGCUAUUGAUGAUGAUGAAUGAUACAGAUACGUUUGAAUGUCCAGUCAUGCUCAUAUAAUCUCCGACAUAAAUUAUUACAGUUUAAGACCAUCCAUAGAAUGUACUAUAUGCCAGUGAAACUGAAUAUAAUGCACACAGAAAUGUAAUUAUUCUGCUGGAGGUGUAAAACACAAAAGGGAAAAUAUUUGCAUGUCAGGUCUUGUGAAGGCUGGAUGAAUUCUGGCAAAGAGUAUGUUAUUUUAUCUCAGCAUGUCUACAGAUUCUCCCUUCGUCCUGUUUUUGUUUGCUUGGAAAUGUUGAUACUGGAAACUUAUCAGAAGAAACAGUGUAACCUAGUAUUUAUAGUGGCUAAGAAAUGCAUUGCAAUUAAUUAAAAAUCCAAUUUUAUUGGUCACAUACACAUAUUUGCAGAUGCUAUUGCAGGUGUAGUGAAAUGCUUGUUGGAAGGUUGGUUGAUCCUCCCAUAAUGGAUGGAAGAAAUGUCAAGUUAUGUAUCACUAGAUUUGAUUUAUGACAAGAUGAAGGGUAUGCUGUGCAACUUUCAUAAGGUCAUGCCUUAUAUGGAAUAAAUCAAAUGUUAUUGAUCACAUACAUGUGUUUAGCAGAUGUUAUUAAGGGUGUAGCGAAAUGCUUGUUUUUCUAGCUCCACCAGUGCAGUAAUAUCUAACAAUUUCACAACAUAUACCCAAUACACACACAUUUAAGUAAAUGAAUGUAAUUAAGAUUAUAUAAAUAUAUGAAUGAGCAAUGUCAGAGCGGUGUAGACUAAGACAGUAUAGAAUACAGUAUAUGAGAUGAGUAAUGCAAGAUAUGUAAACAUUAUUAAAGUGACUAGUGUUCCAUUU
Molecule: long non-coding RNA, 1449 nt
Organism: Oncorhynchus keta (chum salmon)
Lineage: Eukaryota; Metazoa; Chordata; Actinopteri; Salmoniformes; Salmonidae
Exons: 4
Source: RefSeq, a predicted model, not a curated record